UUAUUAUACCAAAAGGGAAUUCCCCUUUGUUCGGUGUACAAGUAAAAUUAGAUUGAAAAAUUAAGUGUAUUAAAAAUACACCUAUUUACUUGGAAAAGAGCCAUUCAAAGGCUCUUUUUUUUAUGGUAA
RNAcentral lists this non-coding RNA (129 nucleotides) under unclassified sequences. RNAcentral's name for it is "DUF3800-I RNA". It matches the Rfam family "DUF3800-I RNA". From Rfam's summary of the family: Actinobacteria, Firmicutes, Fusobacteria, Proteobacteria (1 example), Tenericutes (2 examples). Terminator (Clostridia) The record is from Rfam by way of RNAcentral.